GGGAAAUCAGUACUGUGCUCUCUUCU
Molecule: non-coding RNA, 26 nt
Filed under: Mus musculus (house mouse)
Lineage: Eukaryota; Metazoa; Chordata; Mammalia; Rodentia; Muridae
Source: RNAcentral